UGGUGAUUUGAAUUGUCUGCUUAAUUGCGAUAACGAACGAGAUCCGAGCUAUUUAGUUGGCUGGUACUGUUUUUGCACAGGGCCACGUCUCCUAGAUGGACUAUCAGUGUGAACUGAAGGAAGUUUCGGGCUAAAUCA
This 138-nucleotide ribosomal RNA is filed under the name uncultured eukaryote. Its description in RNAcentral is "partial 18S ribosomal RNA". It matches the Rfam family "Eukaryotic small subunit ribosomal RNA", at positions 1299 to 1458 of the family's 1831-position model. The record is from RNAcentral.